This 292-nucleotide ribosomal RNA is filed under the name uncultured bacterium. Its description in RNAcentral is "partial 16S ribosomal RNA". It matches the Rfam family "Bacterial small subunit ribosomal RNA", at positions 505 to 796 of the family's 1533-position model. The record is from RNAcentral.
GUGCCAGCAGCCGCGGUAAGACGUAGGGGACGAGCGUUGUCCGGAUUUAUUGGGCGUAAAGCGCGCGUAGGCGGUUUGGUAAGUCGGAUGUGAAAUCCCGCGGCUCAACCACGGGACUGCAUCCGAUACUGCCCGACUAGAGGUAGGUAGGGGAGAUCGGAAUUCCUGGUGUAGCGGUGAAAUGCGCAGAUAUCAGGAGGAACACCGGUGGCGAAGGCGGAUCUCUGGGCCUUACCUGACGCUGAGGCGCGAAAGCUAGGGGAGCGAACAGGAUUAGAAACCCGCGUAGUCC